This 1017-nucleotide ribosomal RNA is filed under the name uncultured bacterium. RNAcentral's name for it is "bacterial SSU rRNA". It matches the Rfam family "Bacterial small subunit ribosomal RNA", at positions 521 to 1533 of the family's 1533-position model. The record is from RNAcentral.
UAAUACGUAGGUGGCAAGCGUUAUCCGGAUUUAUGGGCGUAAAGCGAGCGCAGGCGGUUUUUUAAGUCUGAUGUGAAAGCCUUCGGCUUAACCGAAGAAGUGCAUCGGAAACUGGGGAACUUGAGUGCAGAAGAGGACAGUGGAACUCCAUGUGUAGCGGUGAAAUGCGUAGAUAUAUGGAAGAACACCAGUGGCGAAGGCGGCUGUCUGGUCUGUAACUGACGCUGAGGCUCGAAAGCAUGGGUAGCGAACAGGAUUAGAUACCCUGGUAGUCCAUGCUGUAAACGAUGAAUGCUAGGUGUUGGAGGGUUUCCGCCCUUCAGUGCCGCAGCUAACGCAUUAAGCAUUCCGCCUGGGGAGUACGACCGCAAGGUUGAAACUCAAAGGAAUUGACGGGGGCCCGCACAAGCGGUGGAGCAUGUGGUUUAAUUCGACGCAACGCGAAGAACCUUACCAGGUCUUGACAUCCUAUGCCAACCUGAGAGAUCAGGCGUUCCCUUCGGGGACAUAGUGACAGGUGGUGCAUGGUUGUCGUCAGCUCGUGUCGUGAGAUGUUGGGUUAAGUCCCGCAACGAGCGCAACCCUUAUGGCUAGUUGCCAGCAUCAAGUUGGGCACUCUAGUAAGACUGCCGGUGACAAACCGGAGGAAGGAGGGGACGACGUCAAAUCAUCAUGCCCCUUAUGACCUGGGCUACACACGUGCUACAAUGGCCGGUACAACGAGUUGCGAACCCACGAGGGCAAGCUAAUCUCUUAAAGCCGGUCUCAGUUCGGACUGCAGGCUGCAACUCGCCUGCACGAAGUCGGAAUCGCUAGUAAUCGCGGAUCAGCAUGCCGCGGUGAAUACGUUCCCGGGCCUUGUACACACCGCCCGUCACACCAUGAGAGUUUGUAACACCCGAAGCCGGUGGGGUAACCUUUCGAGGAGCUAGCCGUCUAAGGUGGGACAGAUGAUUAGGGUGAAGUCGUAACAAGGUAGCCGUAGGAGAACCUGCGGCUGGAUCACCUCCUUUCUAA